Molecule: ribosomal RNA, 480 nt
Filed under: uncultured bacterium
Lineage: Bacteria
Description: partial 16S ribosomal RNA
Rfam family: Bacterial small subunit ribosomal RNA
Source: RNAcentral
GACGAACGCUGGCGGCGUGCUUAACACAUGCAAGUCGAGCGGAAAGGCCCUUUCGGGGGUACUCGAGCGGCGAACGGGUGAGUAACACGUGAGUAAUCUGCCCCUGGCUUUGGGAUAGCCACCGGAAACGGUGAUUAAUACCGGAUACGACCACUUCUCGCAUGGGAUGGUGGUGGAAAGUUUUUCGGCCAGGGAUGUGCUCGCGGCCUAUCAGCUUGAUGGUGAGGUAAUGGCUCACCAUGGCUUCGACGGGUAGCCGGCCUGAGCGGGUGGCCGGUCACACGGGGACUGAGACACGGCCCAGACUCCGACGGGAGGCAGCAGUGGGGAAUAUUGGACAAUGGGCGGAAGCCUGAUCCAGCAACGCCGCGUGAGGGAUGACGGCCUUCGGGUUGUAAACCUCUUUCAGCAGGGACGAAGCGCAAGUGACGGUACCUGCAGAAGAAGCACCGGCCAACUACGUGCCAGCCGCCGCCGUAA